This 373-nucleotide ribosomal RNA is filed under the name uncultured bacterium. RNAcentral's name for it is "bacterial SSU rRNA". It matches the Rfam family "Bacterial small subunit ribosomal RNA", at positions 527 to 896 of the family's 1533-position model. The record is from RNAcentral.
GUACGGUGCGAGCGUUGUCCGGAAUUAUUGGGCGUAAAGAGCUCGUAGGCGGUGUGUCGCGUCGGCCGUGAAAACCUGCAGCUUAACUGUGGGCUUGCGGUCGAUACGGGCAUCACUGGAGUUCGGCAGGGGAGACUGGAAUUCCUGGUGUAGCGGUGAAAUGCGCAGAUAUCAGGAGGAACACCGGUGGCGAAGGCGGGUCUCUGGGCCGAUACUGACGCUGAGGAGCGAAAGCGUGGGGAGCAAACAGGAUUAGAUACCCUGGUAGUCCACGCCGUAAACGUUGGGCGCUAGGUGUGGGGACCAUUCCACGGUUUCUGUGCCGUAGCUAACGCAUUAAGCGCCCCGCCUGGGGAGUACGGCCGCAAGGCUA